RNAcentral lists this ribosomal RNA (811 nucleotides) under Emergomyces africanus. Its description in RNAcentral is "eukaryotic LSU rRNA". It matches the Rfam family "Eukaryotic large subunit ribosomal RNA", at positions 85 to 912 of the family's 3401-position model. The record is from RNAcentral. Lineage: Eukaryota; Fungi; Ascomycota; Eurotiomycetes; Onygenales; Ajellomycetaceae.
AACGGCGAGUGAAGCGGCAAAAGCUCAAAUUUGAAAUCUGGCCCCUUCGGGGCCCGAGUUGUAAUUUGUAGAGGAUGCUUCGGGUGCGACCGCGGUCUAAGUCCCCUGGAACGGGGCGUCGCAGAGGGUGAGAAUCCCGUCUUCGGCCGGCCGGCCGCGCCCGUGUGAAGCUCCUUCGACGAGUCGAGUUGUUUGGGAAUGCAGCUCUAAAUGGGUGGUAAAUUUCAUCUAAAGCUAAAUACUGGUCGGAGACCGAUAGCGCACAAGUAGAGUGAUCGAAAGAUGAAAAGCACUUUGAAAAGAGAGUUAAACAGCAUGUGAAAUUGUUGAAAGGGAAGCGCUUGCGACCAGAGUCGGCCGCGGGGGUUCAGCGGGCAUUCGUUGCCCGUGCACUCCCCCGGGGCCGGGCCAGCGUCGGUUUCGACGGCCGGUCAAAGGCCCCCGGAAUGUGUCGCCUCUCGGGGCGUCUUAUAGCCGGGGGUGCAAUGCGGCCAGUCGGGACCGAGGAACGCGCUUCGGCACGGACGCUGGCUUAAUGGUCGUAAGCGACCCGUCUUGAAACACGGACCAAGGAGUCUAACAUCCACGCGAGUGUUCGGGUGUCAAACCCGUCCGCGCAGUGAAAGCGAACGGAGGUGGGAACCCUCAAGGGUGCACCAUCGACCGAUCCUGAAGUCUUCGGAUGGAUUUGAGUAAGAGCGUGGCUGUUGGGACCCGAAAGAUGGUGAACUAUGCCUGAAUAGGGUGAAGCCAGAGGAAACUCUGGUGGAGGCUCGCAGCGGUUCUGACGUGCAAAUCGAUCGUCAAAUUU